UUAGUUGGUGGAGCGAUUUGUCUGGUUAAUUCCGAUAACGAACGAGACUCCAGCCUGCUAAUUAGUGCGUCUGUCCACUGUUUCUGUGUAGGCGGCGUUCGGCAAGGCUGCUGCUAUGUGCUGCUUGACGGUUGGCCCUCGGGUUGCAGUCUUGUAGUACGGUGGUGCUGGUCCAGCGUUAGCUUCCGGUUUCGGCGCGGGCGUUUACUUCUUAGAGGGACAAGCGGGAGAAGCCGCACGAAAUUGAGCAAUAACAGGUCUGUGAUGCCCUUAGAUGUCCGGGGCCGCACGCGCGCUACAAUGACGGUGUCAACGAGUCUGACCUUCUGGCCCGAAAGGGUUGGGCAAACUGGUCAAUCACCGUCAUGACAGGGAUCGGGGCUUGGAAUUGUUCCCCGUGAACGAGGAAUUCCUAGUAAGUGCAAGUCAUAAGCUUGCGCUGAUUACGUCCCUGCCCUUUGUACACACCGCCCGUCGCUACUACCGAUUGAAUGGUUUAGUAAGGUCCUUGGAUUGGCGCCAUUGUGGUGGUUACCGAAAGGUGAUUGCCAUACAGGUGCCGAGAAGACGACCAAACUUGAUCAUUUA
Molecule: ribosomal RNA, 588 nt
Filed under: Paraorygmatobothrium sp.
Lineage: Eukaryota; Metazoa; Platyhelminthes; Cestoda; Phyllobothriidea; Phyllobothriidae
Description: bacterial SSU rRNA
Rfam family: Eukaryotic small subunit ribosomal RNA
Source: RNAcentral